CCCUGGCCUUGACAUACUAAGAACUUUCCAGAGAUGGAUUGGUGCCUUCGGGAACUUAGAUACAGGUGCUGCAUGGCUGUCGUCAGCUCGUGUCGUGAGAUGUUGGGUUAACGUCCGCAACGAGCGCAACCCUUUUCCUUAUUUGCCAGCGGGUAAUGCCGGGAACUUUAAGGAUACUGCCAGUGACAAACUGGAGGAAGGCGGGGACGACGUCAAGUCAUCAUGGCCCUUACGGCCAGGGCUACACACGUGCUACAAUGGUCGGUACAAAGGGUUGCUACCUCGCGAGAGGAUGCUAAUCUCAAAAAGCCGAUCGUAGUCCGGAUCGCAGUCUGCAACUCGACUGCGUGAAGUCGGAAUCGCUAGUAAUCGCGGAUCAGAAUGCCGCGGUGAAUACGUUCCCGGGCCUUGUACACACCGCCCGUCACACCAUGGGAGUUUGUUGCACCAGAAGUAGGUAGUCUAACCGCAAGGAGGACGCUUACCACGGUGUGGCCGAUGACUGGGGUGAAGUCGUAACAAGGUAAGCGUAGAUGA
Molecule: ribosomal RNA, 537 nt
Filed under: uncultured bacterium
Lineage: Bacteria
Description: bacterial SSU rRNA
Rfam family: Bacterial small subunit ribosomal RNA
Source: RNAcentral